GAAAGCUUGCUUUCUUUGCUGGCGACCGGCGCACGGGUGAGUAACACGUAUCCAACCUGCCCUUUACUCGGGGAUAGCCUUUCGAAAGAAAGAUUAAUACCCGAUAGCAUAAUGAUUCCGCAUGGUUUCAUUAUUAAAGGAUUCCGGUAAAGGAUGGGGAUGCGUUCCAUUAGGUUGUUGGUGAGGUAACGGCUCACCAAGCCUUCGAUGGAUAGGGGUUCUGAGAGGAAGGUCCCCCACAUUGGAACUGAGACACGGUCCAAACUCCUACGGGAGGCAGCAGUGAGGAAUAUUGGUCAAUGGGCGCUAGCCUGAACCAGCCAAGUAGCGUGAAGGAUGAAGGCUCUAUGGGUCGUAAACUUCUUUUAUAUAAGAAUAAAGUGCAGUAUGUAUACUGUUUUGUAUGUAUUAUAUGAAUAAGGAUCGGCUAACUCCGUGCCAGCAGCCGCGGUAAUACGGAGGAUCCGAGCGUUAUCCGGAUUUAUUGGGUUUAAAGGGAGCGUAGGUGGACUGGUAAGUCAGUUGUGAAAGUUUGCGGCUCAACCGUAAAAUUGCAGUUGAUACUGUCAGUCUUGAGUACAGUAGAGGUGGGCGGAAUUCGUGGUGUAGCGGUGAAAUGCUUAGAUAUCACGAAGAACUCCGAUUGCGAAGGCAG
RNAcentral lists this ribosomal RNA (655 nucleotides) under uncultured Bacteroidales bacterium. RNAcentral's name for it is "bacterial SSU rRNA". It matches the Rfam family "Bacterial small subunit ribosomal RNA", at positions 74 to 724 of the family's 1533-position model. Lineage: Bacteria; Pseudomonadati; Bacteroidota; Bacteroidia; Bacteroidales. The record is from RNAcentral.